UAUUCCAACAAUGACUGUAUCCAAACAGAAGGUCCAAGAAACCAGUAGAGUUGUUCAGUCCACAGCUGGCUAUCUCAGCUGGUCUUCAGUAUAUGCCAGAGUCCCAAAGCAGCAUGCUUUAAUGCCAGUGAAGGAAUGAACUUGCCAAUGAGAGCGAAAGCAAGCAGACAAAGGGCAAGAGCGCCUUUCUUCCCUGUCCUUUCCGUAGGCUGCCAGCAGAAGGUGUGGCCCAGAUUUAAGGUGGGUCUUCUUACUUUGAGUGAUCCAAUCAGACAAAAGCCCUCACAGGUAUGCUCAGCUGCUUGGGUUUUGGUUCAUUCCAAAUGUUGUUCAGUUGACAACCAAGAAUGGCCAUCACAGAGGUUAAACCAUUAUCUACCUUGAAGCAACAGACUGUGUGUUUGUCUUUUGGGAAACAUUUGCUGGUUGGUACAGCACUGCCAGAUAAUGCGUCCUCAUCAGUGAGGUUUCAAGCAGGAAUUAUCCAAGACAAAGCAGUUCUGAUACAGUCAAGCCUACAGCCAGAGGAAAGUAAGAAGACAUGUAAACAUUAUUGGGGACUGCCCUAACUGUCAUCAGAGAGCCUUCAUCCAGUAAUUUACGGAAGCAGAUGCAGAGAUCCACAGUCAAGCUCUGGGUUGAGCUCCAGGAAUCCAGUUGAAGAGAGGGAGGAGGGAUUGUAUGAGCGAGGGAGAUCAAGAUCAUGACAGCAGCACCCAGAGAGACAACUGAUCUGAGCUAGUGGGAGCUCACAGACUCUGGACUGACAGCUGGGGAGCCUGCGUGGGACAAACCUAGGUCCUCUGUGUGUGGGUGACAGUUGUGUAGCUUGGUCUGCUUGUGGAACCCCUAGCAGUGGGAUCAGGACUUAUCCCUGACCCAUGAGCUGGCUUCUGGGAACUAUUCCCCAUGCUGGACUACUUCGCCCAGCCUUGGUGCAAGGGUAGGAGCUUGGUCUUGCCUCAACUUGAAGUGCCAUGCUUGGUUGACUCCCGUGGGAGGCCUGUCCUUUUUCGGAACAGAGGAAGAGUGGAUGGGGAUGGGGUAGAUAGGA
Molecule: long non-coding RNA, 1054 nt
Organism: Arvicola amphibius (Eurasian water vole)
Lineage: Eukaryota; Metazoa; Chordata; Mammalia; Rodentia; Cricetidae
Exons: 3
Source: RefSeq, a predicted model, not a curated record